UCAAGAGUACGUGAAACUGCUUAGAGGUUAAGCCCGAUGAACCUGAAUAUCCAUUAUGGAAAAUUCAAUAUUACGAAUAUGAUAUUUAAUUAUAUUGUAUGAAUAGUAUGCAAUUUUUCCAUAUAAGGACAUUGUAAUCUGUUAAUGUCUUAAAUGUUUAUCAAAAGAUCUUUUACUUAAGUUUAUUUAAAUUGUUUAUCUUCGGAUAUUCAACAUAAAAUAAAUGUUCAAGAUUUGUUAAACCAUUGACAGAUAUAAUUAUAUAAAAUGCUCAAAUUCUUCGGAAUUUUUUAAUGAUAAGUAGAUCUAUUGAUUUAUUUGUUAUUGCAUGCAUUUUUAUGAUUAACAAUGCGAUAGAUUCAGGAUACCUUCGGGACCCGUCUUGAAACACGGACCAAGGAGUCUAACAUAUGUGCAAGUCAUUGGGUAUUUUUAAUAAAACCCAAUGGCAUAAUUAACUUAACUGAUUAAUAAUGGGAUUAAUUUAUAUUUUGUUAUGAUUUAUUUAUUCAAUCCCGGGGCGUUCUAUACAGUUAUGCAUAAUGAUAUUUAUAUUAUUUAUGCCUCUAACUAGAGCGUACCUUGAGCAUAUAUGCUGUGACCCGAAA
RNAcentral lists this ribosomal RNA (608 nucleotides) under Allograpta nigripilosa. RNAcentral's name for it is "eukaryotic LSU rRNA". It matches the Rfam family "Eukaryotic large subunit ribosomal RNA", at positions 389 to 821 of the family's 3401-position model. The record is from RNAcentral. Lineage: Eukaryota; Metazoa; Arthropoda; Insecta; Diptera; Syrphidae.